CAUAUCAAUAAGCGGAGGAAAAGAAACUAACUAGGAUUCCCUUUAGUAACUGCGAGUGAACAGGGAAAAGCUCAAAUUUAAAAUCUGGCAGUCUUUUAGCUGUCCGAGUUGUAAUCUAGAGAAGUGUUAUCUGCGCUGGACCGUGUACAAGUCUCCUGGAAUGGAGCAUCAUUGAGGGUGAGAAUCCCGUCUUUGACACGGACUGCCAGGGCUUUGUGAUGCGCUCUCAAAGAGUCGAGUUGUUUGGGAAUGCAGCUCAAAAUGGGUGGUAAAUUCCAUCUAAAGCUAAAUAUUGGCGAGAGACCGAUAGUGAACAAGUACCGUGAGGGAAAGAUGAAAAGAACUUUGGAAAGAGAGUUAAACAGUACGUGAAAUUGCUGAAAGGGAAACGCUUGACGUCAGUCGCGUUGCCCAGGGAUCAUCCCUUGCUUUUGCUUGGUGUACUUUCUGGUUGACGGGCCAGCAUCAAUUUUGAUUAUUGGAUAAAGGUCAAGGGAAUGUGGCAUCUUAGGAUGUGUUAUAGCCCUUGGUUGCAUACAAUGGUUGGGAUUGAGGAACUCAGCACGCGCCGCAAGGCAGGAUUUUUAUAUCACAUACGUGCUUAGGAUGCUGGCAUAAUGGCUUUAAUCGACCCGUCUUGAAACACGGACCAAGGAGUCUAACAUACCUGCGAGUGUUUGGGUGGAAAACUCAAGUUCGUAAUGAAAGUGAAAGUUAAUAUCCCUGUUUGUGGGGAGCAUUGACGCCCGGACCAGACCUUUUGUGACGGUUCCGCGGUAGAGCAUGUAUGUUGGGACCCGAAAGAUGGUGAACUAUGCCUGAAUAGGGUGAAGCCAGAGGAAACUCUGGUGGAGGCUCGUAGCGAUUCUGACGUGCAAAUCGAUCGUCAAAUUUGGGUAU
This 900-nucleotide ribosomal RNA is filed under the name Aureonarius rubrodactylus. RNAcentral's name for it is "Cortinarius rubrodactylus partial large subunit ribosomal RNA". It matches the Rfam family "Eukaryotic large subunit ribosomal RNA", at positions 39 to 918 of the family's 3401-position model. Lineage: Eukaryota; Fungi; Basidiomycota; Agaricomycetes; Agaricales; Cortinariaceae. The record is from RNAcentral.